UACGUAGGGGGCAAGCGUUGUCCGGAAUCAUUGGGCGUAAAGCGCGCGUAGGCGGUCCGGUAAGUCCGCUCUGAAAGUCCAGGGCUUAACCCUGGAAAGCGGGUGGAUACUGCCGGGCUUGAAUCCGGAAGAGGCGAGUGGAAUUCCUGGUGUAGCGGUGGAAUGCGCAGAUAUCAGGAGGAACACCAAUAGCGAAGGCAGCUCGCUGGGACGGUAUUGACGCUAAGGCGCGAAAGCGUGGGGAGCAAACAGG
Molecule: ribosomal RNA, 253 nt
Filed under: uncultured bacterium
Lineage: Bacteria
Description: partial 16S ribosomal RNA
Rfam family: Bacterial small subunit ribosomal RNA
Source: RNAcentral